UACGAAGGGGGCUAGCGUUGCUCGGAAUUACUGGGCGUAAAGGGUGCGUAGGCGGCUUUUUAAGUCAGGGGUGAAAUCCUGGAGCUCAACUCCAGAACUGCCUUUGAUACUGAGGAUCUGGAGUUCGGGAGAGGUGAGUGGAACUGCGAGUGUAGAGGUGAAAUUCGUAGAUAUUCGCAAGAACACCAGUGGCGAAGGCGGCUCACUGGCCCGAUACUGACGCUGAGGCACGAAAGCGUGGGGAGCAAACAGG
RNAcentral lists this ribosomal RNA (253 nucleotides) under uncultured bacterium. RNAcentral's name for it is "partial 16S ribosomal RNA". It matches the Rfam family "Bacterial small subunit ribosomal RNA", at positions 524 to 776 of the family's 1533-position model. The record is from RNAcentral.